RNAcentral lists this unclassified non-coding RNA (206 nucleotides) under uncultured Coniophora. RNAcentral describes it as "sequence contains ITS2". Lineage: Eukaryota; Fungi; Basidiomycota; Agaricomycetes; Boletales; Coniophoraceae. The record is from RNAcentral.
AAUUCUCAACUCCCUUUGAUUUCUUCAAUGGUGAGCUUGGAUUGUGGAGGCCUGCUGGCUGUAAAGUCAGCUCCUCUGAAAUGCAUUGGCAAAGGCGUGUGCAUUAAUCGGCCUUUCGGUGUGAUAAUGAUCACCGUGGCUGGCUUGCUAUAAUGCCUAUGUCUGCCUUCUUUUCCAUUCACUUGGAUUAGAAACCCCACUUGACA